RNAcentral lists this ribosomal RNA (497 nucleotides) under uncultured bacterium. RNAcentral's name for it is "partial 16S ribosomal RNA". It matches the Rfam family "Bacterial small subunit ribosomal RNA", at positions 28 to 507 of the family's 1533-position model. The record is from RNAcentral.
GAUGAACGCUGGCGGCGUGCCUAAUACAUGCAAGUCGAGCGAACAGACGAGGUGCUUGCUCCUUUGACGUUAGCGGCGGACGGAUGAGUAGAACAUAGGUAACCUACCUAUAAGACAAGGCUAACUUACGGAAACCAAAGCUAAUACCGGGUAAUAUUUCGAACCGGAUGGUUCGAUAGUGCAAGCUGGCUUUGCUAUCACUUAUACAUAGACCUGCGCCGUAUUAGCUGUGUGGUAAGGUAACGGCUUACCAAGGCCACGCUACGUAGCCGACCUGAGAGGGUGAUCGGCCACACUGGAACUGAGACACGGUACAGACUCCGACGGGAGGCAGCAGUAGGGACUCUUCCGAAAUGUGCGAAAGCCUGACGGAGCAACGCCGCGUGGGUGAUGAAGGUCUGCGUAUCGUAAAACUCUGUUAUUAGGGAAGAACAAACGCGUAAGUAACUGUGCACGUCGUGACGGUACCUAAAGAGAAAGCCACGGCUAACUACGUG